GGGCGUUCCAGGGGCUACCAUGCAGUCGAGCGGUAACAGGGGUAGCUUGCUACCCGCUGACGAGCGGCGGACGGGUGAGUAAUGCAUGGGAAUCUGCCCGAUAGUGGGGGAUAACUCGGGGAAACCCGAGCUAAUACCGCAUACGUCCUACGGGAGAAAGCAGGGGAUCUUCGGACCUUGCGCUAUCGGAUGAGCCCAUGCCGGAUUAGCUUGUUGGUGAGGUAACGGCUCACCAAGGCUGCGAUCCGUAGCUGGUCUGAGAGGAUGAUCAGCCACACCGGGACUGAGACACGGCCCGGACUCCUACGGGAGGCAGCAGUGGGGAAUAUUGGACAAUGGGGGAAACCCUGAUCCAGCCAUGCCGCGUGUGUGAAGAAGGCCUUCGGGUUGUAAAGCACUUUCAGUGAGGAAGAAUGCCUUGUGGCCAAUACCCACGAGGAAGGACAUCACUCACAGAAGAAGCACCGGCUAACUCCGUGCCAGCAGCCGCGGUAAUACGGAGGGUGCAAGCGUUAAUCGGAAUUACUGGGCGUAAAGGGCGCGUAGGCGGCUCGUCAAGCCGGAUGUGAAAGCCCCGGGCUCAACCCGGGAACGGCAUUCGGAACUGGCUGGCUAGAGUGCAGGAGAGGAAGGUAGAAUUCCCGGUGUAGCGGUGAAAUGCGUAGAGAUCGGGAGGAAUACCAGUGGCGAAGGCGGCCUUCUGGACUGACACUGACGCUGAGGCGCGAAAGCGUGGGUAGCAAACAGGAUUAGAUACCCUGGUAGUCCACGCUGUAAACGAUGUCGACCAGCCGUUGGAUCCCUUGAGGAUUUAGUGGCGUAGUUAACGCAAUAAGUCGACCGCCUGGGGAGUACGGCCGCAAGGCUAAAACUCAAAUGAAUUGACGGGGGGCCCGCACAAGCGGUGGAGCAUGUGGUUUAAUUCGAUGCAACGCGAAGAACCUUACCUGCUCUUGACAUCCUGCGAAUCCUCCUCAGAGAUGGGAGAGUGCCUUUCGGGGAGCGCCAGAGACAGGUGCUGCAUGGCUGUCGUUCAGCUCGUGUUGUGAAUGUUGGGUUUAGUCCCGUAACGAGCGCACCCCUAUCCCUUUUUGCCCAGCCGGUUCCGGCCGGAUCUUCAGGUAGACUGCCGUGACUACCCGGAGGAUGGUGGGACGACGUCCAGUCAUCAUGGCCUUAACGAGCCAGGACUUACCCACCACCGGGUGGCCUUCA
RNAcentral lists this ribosomal RNA (1215 nucleotides) under Kushneria sp. RNAcentral describes it as "bacterial SSU rRNA". It matches the Rfam family "Bacterial small subunit ribosomal RNA", at positions 37 to 1241 of the family's 1533-position model. Lineage: Bacteria; Pseudomonadati; Pseudomonadota; Gammaproteobacteria; Oceanospirillales; Halomonadaceae. The record is from RNAcentral.